UUGAGGUUGUGGUGUUUUUGAACUUGCGUUUGUGGUGUUUUGUACUUGAGUUUGUGUCAUUUUUCAACUUGAGGUUGUGGAACUUGUUAAACUUGAGAAUGAGGUGUUGAUUGAACUUGAGUAUUUUUUUUUUAACUUGAGUUUGUGUCGUGUUUGAGCUCGAAAUUGUGGUGCUUUUGAAUUUGAGUUUGCGUGUUUUUUGAUCUUGAGUUUGUUGUUUCUGAACUUGAGGUUUUGGCAAUUGUUGAACUUGAGUCUGUGGUUUUUAGUGAACUUUAGUUGGUUGCAAUUGUUGAACAUGAGUUUAUGGCGUAAAAUUGAGAAUUGGGUGUUGGUUGAACUUAAAAGUUUGACAUUUGUUGAACUUGAGUGUGGUUUUUGUUGAACUUGAGUUUGUGUCGUGUUUGAGCUCGAGUUUGUGGUGUUUAUGAAUUUGAGUUUGCGUGUUUGUUAAACUUGAGUUUGUGUUUUUUUUUAACUUGAGUUUGUUGUUUCUGAACUUGAGUUUGUGGCAAUUGUUGAACUUGAGUUUGACAUUUGUUGAACUUGGGUUUGUGGUUUUUGUUGAACUUGAGUUUGUGGUGUUUUUGAACUUGAGGUUGUGGAAUUUGUUAAACUUGAGAAUUGGGUAUUGGUUGAAAUUGAGUUUGUGUGUUUGUUGAACUUGAGUUUGUGUCGUGUUUGAACUUGAGUUUAUGGUUUUUUUUAACUUGAGUUUGUGGUGUUUUUGAACUUGAGGUUGUUAGAAAUUGUUAAACUUGAAAAUUUGGUAUUGGUUGAACUUGAGUUUGUGUGUUUGUUGAACUUGAGUUUGUUCCGUUUGUUGAACUUGAGUUUCUGUUGUUUUUGAACUUGAAUUUGUGUCGUGUUUGAACUUGAGUUUGUGGCGACUGUUGAACUUGAGUUUGUGGUGUUUUUGAAAUUGAGGGUGUGGAAUUUGUUAAUCUUGAGAAUUGGGUAUUGGUUGAACUUGAGUUUGUGUUUUUGUUGAACUUGAGUUUGUGUCGACUUUGAACUUGAGUUUGUGGUGUUUUUUAACUUGAUUUUGUGUGUUUGUUGAACUUGAGUUUGUGUUUGAACUUGAGUUUGUGGUGUUUUUGAACUUGAGUUUGUGUCGUGUUUUAACUUGAGUUUGUGGCGUUUGUUGAACUUGAGUUUGUGUCGUGUCUGAACUUGAGUUUGUGGUGUUUUUGAACUUGAGUUUUCUGGUGUUUUUGAACUUGAGGGUGUGGAAUUUGUUAAACUUGAGAAUUGGGUAUUGGUUUAACUUGAGUUUGUGUCGAGUUUGAACUUGAGUUUGUGGUGUUUUUUAACUUGAUUUUGUGUGUUUUUUGAACUUGAGUUUCUGUAUUUUUUGAACUUGAAUUUGUGUCGUGUUUGAACUUGAGUUUGUGGCGUUUGUUGAACUUGAGUUUGUGUCAUGUCUGAACAUGAGUUUGUGGUGUUUUUGAACUUGAGUUUGUGGUGUUUUUGAACUUGAUUUCGUGUUUGAACUUGAGUUUGUGGUGUUUUUGAACUUGAGUUUGUGUCGUGUUUUAACCCGAGUUUGUGUGUUUGUUUAACUUGAUUUUGUGUUUAUGUUUGAACUUGAGUUUGUGGGGUUUUUGAACUUGUGUUUGUGGUGUUUUUGAACUUGAGUUUGUGGCGUUUGUUGAACUUGAGUUUCUGUUGUUUUUGAACUUGAAUUUGUGUCGUGUUUGAACUUGAGUUUGUGGCGUUUUUUGAACUUUAAUUUGUGUCGUGUUUGAACUUGAGUUUGUGGCGACUGUUGAACUUGAGUUUGAGGUGUUUUUGAAAUUGAGGGUGUGGAAUUUGUUAAUCUUGAGAAUUGGGUAUUGGUUGAACUUGAGUUUGUGUUUUGUUGAACUUGAGUUUGUGUCGAGUUUGAACUUGAGUUUAUGGUGUUUUUUAAAUUUAUUUUGUGUGUUUGUUGAACUUGAGUUUGUGUUUGAACUUGAGUUUGUGGUGUUUUUGAACUUGAGUUUGUGUCGUGUCUGAACUUGAGUUUGUGGUGUUUUUGAACUUGAGUUUUCUGGUGUUUUUGAACUUGAGGGUGUGGAAUUUGUUAAACUUGAGAAUUGGGUAUUGGUUUAACUUGAGUUUGUGUCGAGUUUGAACUUGAGUUUGUGGUGUUUUUUAACUUGAUUUUGUGUGUUUUUUGAACUUGAGUUUCUGUAUUUUUUGAACUUGAAUUUGUGUCGUGUUUGAACUUGAGUUUGUGGCGUUUGUUGAACUUGAGUUUGUGUCAUGUAUGAACAUGAGUUUGUGGUGUUUUUGAACUUGAGUUUGUGGUGUUUUUGAAGUUGAUUUGUUGUUUGAACUUGAGUUUGUGGUGUUUUUGAACUUGAGUUUGUGUCGUGUUUUAACCUGAGUUUGUGUGUUUGUUUAACUUGAUUUUGUGUUUAUGUUUGAACUUGAGUUUGUGGGGUUUUUGAACUUGAGUUUGUGGUGUUUUUGAACUUGAGUUUGUGGCGUUUGUUGAACUUGAGUUUCUGUUGUUUUUGAACUUGAAUUUGUGUCGUGUUUGAACUUGAGUUUGUGGCGUUUGUUGAACUUGAGUUUGUGGUGUUUUUGAACUUGAGGGUGUGGAAUUUGUUAAUCUUGAGAAUUGUGUUUUGGUUGAACUUGAGUUUGUGUUUUUGUUGAACUUGAGUUUGUGUCGAGUUUGAACUUGAGUUUGUGGUGUUUUUUAACUUGAUUUUGUGUUUGUUGAACUUGAGUUGUGUUUGAACUUGAGUUUGUAGUAUUUUUGAACUUGAGUUUGUGUCGUGUUUUAACUUGAGUUUGUGUGUUUGUUUAACUUGAGUUUGUGUUGUGUUUGAACUUGAGUUUGUGGCGUUUGUUGAACUUGAGUUUCUGUUGUUUUUGAACUUGAACUUUUUGUCGUGUUUAAACUUGAGUUUGUGGUGUUUGUUGAACUUGAGUUUGUGUCGUGUCUGAACUUGAGUUUGUGGUGUUUUUGAACUUGAGUUUUCUGGUGUUUUUGAACUUGAGGGUGUGGAAUUUGUUAAACUUCAGAAUUGGGUAUUGGUUUAACUUGAGUUUGUGUGUUUGUUGAACUUGAGUUUGUGUCGAGUUUGAACUUGAGUUUGUGGUGUUUUUUAACUUGUUUUUGUGUGUUUGUUGAACUUGAGUUUGUGUUUGAACUUGAGUUUGUGGUGUUUAUUGAACUUGAGUUUGUGUCGUGUCUGAACUUGAGUUUGUGGUGUUUUUGAACUUGAGUUUUCUGGUGUUUUUGAACUUGAGGGUGUGGAAUUUGUUAAACUUCAGAAUUGGGUAUUGGUUGAACUUGAGUUUGUGUGUUUGUUGAACUUGAGUUUGUGUCGAGUUUGAACUUGAGUUUGUGGUGUUUUUUAACUUGUUUUUGUGUGUUUGUUGAACUUGAGUUUGUGUUUGAACUUGAGUUUGUGGUGUUUUUGAACUUGAGUUUGUGUCGUGUUUUAACUUGAGUUUGUGUUGUUGUUUAACUUGAUUUUGUGUCGUGUCUGAACUUGAGUUUGUGGUGUUUUUGAACUUGAGUUUUCUGGUGUUUUUGAACUUGAGGGUGUGGAAUUUGUUAAACUUGAGAAUUGGGUAUUGGUUUAACUUGAGUUUGUGUCGAGUUUGAACUUGAGUUUGUGGUGUUUUUUAACUUGAUUUUGUGUGUUAUUUGAACUUGAGUUUCUGUUGUUUUUGAACUUGAAUUUGUGUCGUGUUUGAACUUGAGUUUGUGGCGUUUGUUGAACUUGAGUUUGUGUCAUGUCUGAACAUGAGUUUGUGGUGUUUUUGAACUUGAGUUUGUGGUGUUUUUGAACUUGAUUUCGUGUUUGAACUUGAGUUUGUGGUGUUUUUGAACUUGAGUUUGUGUCGUGUUUUAACCUGAGUUUGUGUGUUUGUUUAACUUGAUUUUGUGUUUAUGUUUGAACUUGAGUUUGUGGGGUUUUUGAACUUGAGUUUGUGGUGUUUGUUGAACUUGAGUUUCUGUUGUUUUUGAACUUGAAUUUGUGUCGUGUUUGAACUUGAGUUUGUGGCGUUUGUUGAACUUGAGUUUGUGGUGUUUUUGAACUUGAGGGUGUGGAAUUUGUUAAACUUGAGAAUUGGGUAUUGGUUUAACUUGAGUUUGUGUCGAGUUUGAACUUGAGUUUGUGGUGUUUUUUAACUUGAUUUUGUGUGUUAUUUGAACUUGAGUUUCUGUAUUUAUUGAACUUGAAUUUGUGUCGUGUUUGAACUUGAGUUUGUGGCGUUUGUUGAACUUGAGUUUGUGUCAUGUCUGAACAUGAGUUUGUGGUGUUUUUGAACUUGAGUUUGUGGUGUUUUUGAACUUGAUUUCGUGUUUGAACUUGAGUUUGUGGUGUUUUUGAACUUGAGUUUGUGUCGUGUUUUAACCUGAGUUUGUGUGUUUGUUUAACUUGAUUUUGUGUUUAUGUUUGAACUUGAGUUUGUGGGGUUUUUGAACUUGAGUUUGUGGUGUUUGUUGAACUUGAGUUUCUGUUGUUUUUGAACUUGAAUUUGUGUCGUGUUUGAACUUGAGUUUGUGGCGUUUGUUGAACUUGAGUUUGUGGUGUUUUUGAACUUGAGGGUGUGGAAUUUGUUAAUCUUGAGAAUUGGGUUUUGGUUGAACUUGAGUUUUUGUUUUUGUUGAACUUGAGUUUGUGUCGAGUUUGAACUUGAGUUUGUGGUGUUUUUUAACUUGAUUUUGUGUUUGUUGAACUUGAGUUGUGUUUGAACUUGAGUUUGUAGUAUUUUUGAACUUGAGUUUGUGUUGUGUUUGAACUUGAGUUUGUGGCGUUUGUUGAACUUGAGUUUCUGUUGUUUUUGAACUUGAAUUUGUGUCAUGUUUGAACUUGAGUCUGUGGUGUUUGUUGAACUUGAGUUUGUGUCGUGUCUGAACUUGAGUUUGUGGUGUUUUUGAACUUGAGUUUUCUGGUGUUUUUGAACUUGAGGGUGUGGAAUUUGUUAAACUUCAGAAUUGGCUAUUGGUUUAACUUGAGUUUGUGUGUUUGUUGAACUUGAGUUUGUGUCGAGUUUGAACUUGAGUUUGUGGUGUUUUUUAACUUGUUUUUGUGUGCUUGUUGAACUUGAGUUUGUGUUUGAACUUGAGUUUGUGGUGUUUUUGAACUUGAGUUUGUGUCGUGUUUUAACUUGAGUUUGUGUUGUUGUUUAACUUGAUUUUGUGUUGUGUUUGAACUUGAGUUUGUGGUGUUUUUCAACUUGAGUUUGUUGAAAUUUUGAAACUUGAGAAUCAGGUGUUGGAUGAACUUCAGUUAGUGUGUUUGUUGAACUUGAGUUUGUAUCACGUUGGAAAUUUAGUUUGUGGUUUUUGUUGAACUUGUGUUUGUGGUUUUUUUGAACUUGAGUUUGUUUCUUGUUUGAACUUGAGUUCGUGGCGUUUUUUGAAAUUGAGUUUGUGUGUUUUUUUAACUUGAGUAUCUGUUGUUUUUUGAACUUGAAGUUGUGUUCUUUUUUAACUUGAGGGUGUGGAAUUUGUUAAACUUGAGAAUUGGGUUUUGGUUGAACUUGAGUUUGUGGUGUUUUUGAACUUGAGUUUGUUUCGUGUUUGAACUUGAGUUUGUGGGGUUUGUUGAACUUGAGUUUCUGUUGUUUUUGAACUUGAAUUUAAGUCUUGUUUGAAAUUGAGUUUGUGGCGUUUGUUGAACUUGAGUUUGUGUCGUGUCUGAACUUGAGUUUGUGGUGUUUUUGAACUUGAGGUUGUGGUGUUUUUGAACUUGAGGGUGUGGAAUUUGUUAAUCUUGAGAAUUGGGUAUUGGUUGAACUUGAGUUUGUGUUUUUGUUGAACUUGAGUUUGUGUCGAGUUUGAACUUGAGUUUGUGGUGUUUUUUAACUUGAGUUUGUGUGUUUGUUGAACUUGAGUUUGUGUUAUGUUUGAACUUGAGUUUGUGUCGUGUAUGAACUUGAGUUUGUGUUGUGUUUUGAACUUGAGUUUUUGGUGUUUUUGAACUUGAGGGUGUGGAAUUUGUUAAACUUGAGAAUUGGGUAUUGGUUGAAUUUGAGUUUGUGUGUUUGUUGAAUUUGAGUUUGUGUCAUGUUUGAACUUGAGUUUGUGUGUUUGUUGAACUUGAGUUGUGGCGUUUGGUGAAAUCUAGGUUGUGGCAAUUGUUAAACUUGAGAUUUGGUUGUUGGUUGAACUUGAGUUUGUGUCGUGUUUGAACUUGAGUUCGUGUUGUUUUUUGAACUUGAAUUUGUGUGUUUUUUUAACUUAAUUUUUUUUGAACUUGAGUUUGUGGCAAUUGUUGAACUUGAGUCUGUGGUUUUUGGUGAACUUUUAUUGGUGGCAAUUGUUGAACUUGAGUUUGUGGUGUUUUUGAACUUGAGUUUGUUUCGUGUUUGAACUUUGUUUGUGGUGUUUUUGAACUUGAGUUUUUGGUGUUUUUGAACUUGAGGGUGUGUUUUGUUUUUGAACUUGAGUUUUUGGUGUUUUUGAACUUGAGGGUGUGGAAUUUGUUAACUUGAGAAUUGGGUAUUGGUUGAAUUUGAGUUUGUGUGUUUGUUGAACUUGAGUUUGUGUCAUGUUUGAACUUGAGUUUGUGGUCUUUUUGAACUUGAGUUUGUGUGUUUGUUUAACUUGAGUUGUGGCGUUUGUUGAACUCUAGGUUGUGGCAAUUGUUAAACUUGAGAUUUGGUUGUUGGUUGAACUUGAGUUUGUGUCGUGUUUGAACUUGAGUUCGUGUUUGUUGAACUUGAAUUUGUGUGUUUUUUGAACUUAAUUUUUUUGAACUUGAGUUUGUGGCAAUUGUUGAACUUGAGUCUGUGGUUUUUGGUGAACUUUAAUUGGUGGCAAUUGUUGAACUUGAGUUUGUGGUGUUUUUGAACUUGAGUUUGUUUCGUGUUUGAACUUUGUUUGUGGUGUUUUUGAACUUGAGUUUUUGGUGUUUUUGAACUUGAGGGUGUGUUGUGUUUUUGAACUUGAGUUUGUGGUGUUUUUGAACUUGAGUUUGUUUCGUGUUUGAACUUGAGUUUGUGGCGUUUGUUGAACUCUAGGUUGUGGCAAUUGUUGAACUUGAGAUUUGGGUGUUGGUUCAACUUAAAAGUUUGGCAUUUGUUGAACUUAAGUUUGUGUGUUUGUUGAACUUAAGUUUGUGUCUUGUUUGAACUUGAGUUUGUGGUGUUUUUUGAACUUUAGUUUUGGUGUCUUUGAACUUGAGUUUGUGGUGUUUUUGAACUUGAGUUUGAAUCGUGGUUGAACUUGAUUUUGUGGUGUUUUCGAAAUUGAGGGUGUGUUGUGUUUUUGAACUUGAGGUUGUGGUGUUUUUGAACUUGAGUUUGUUUCGUGUUUGAACUUGAGUUUGUGGCGUUUGUUGAACUCUAGGUUGUGGCAAUUGUUGAACUUGAGAUUUGGGUGUUGGUUCAACUUAAAAGUUUGGCAUUUGUUGAACUUGAGUUUGUGUGUUUGUUGAACUUAAGUUUGUGUCUUGUUUGAACUUGAGUUUGUGGUGUUUUCAAACUUGAGUUUGUGGUGUUUUUGAACUUGAGGUGUUGGAAAUUGUGAAACUUGAGAAUUGGGUAUUGGUUGAACUUGAGUUUGUGUGUUUGUUGAACAAGAGAUUGUGUUGUGUUUUAACUUCAGUUUGUAGUGUUUUUUGAACUUGAGGUUGUGGUGUUUUUGAACUUGAGUUUGUGGUGUUUUGUACUUGAGUUUGUGUUAUUUUUCAACUUGAGGUUGUGGAAAAACGUAAACUUGAGAUUUGGGUGUUGAUUGAACUUGAGUUUGUUUCGUGUUUGAUCUUGAGGUUGUGGUGUUUUUGAACUUGAGGUUUCUUGUUUGUUUAACUUGAGUUUGUGUGUUUGUUGAACUUGAGUCUGUGUUAUGUUUGAACUUGAGUUUGUGUCGUGUAUGAACUUGAGUUUGUGUCGUGUUUUUGAACUUGAGUUUUUGGUGUUUUUGAACUUGAGGGUGUGGAAUUUGUUAAACUUGAGAAUUGGGUAUUGUUUGAAUUUGAGUUUGUGUGUUUGUUGAACUUGAGUUUGUAUCAUGUUUGAACUUGAGUUUGUGGUCUUUUUGAACUUGAGUUUGUGUGUUUGUUGAACUCUAGGUUGUGGCAAUUGUUAAACUUGAGAUUUGGUUGUUGGUUGAACUUGAGUUUGUGUUGUGUUUGAACUUGAGUUCGUGUUGUUUGUUGAACUUGAAUUUGUGUGUUUUUUUAACUUAAUUUUUUUGAACUUGAGUUUGUGGCAAUUGUUGAACUUGAGUCUGUGGUUUUUGGUGAACUUUAAUUGGUGGCAAUUGUUGAACUUGAGUUUGUGGUGUUUUUGAACUUGAGUUUGUUUCGUGUUUGAACUUUGUUUGUGGUGUUUUUGAACUUGGGUUUUUGGUGUUUUUGAACUUGAGGGUGUGUUGUGUUUUUGAACUUGAGUUUGUGGUGUUUUUGAACAUGAGGUUGUUUCGUGUUUGAACUUGAGUUUGUGGCGUUUGUUGAACUCUAGGUUGUGGCAAUUGUUGAACUUGAGAUUUGGGUGUUGGUUCAACUUAAAAGUUUGGCAUUUGUUGAACUUGAGUUUGUGUGUUUGUUGAACUUAAGUUUGUGUCUUGUUUGAACUUGAGUUUGUGGUGUUUUCAAACUUGAGUUUGUGUGUUUUUUGAACUUUAGUUUUUGGUGUCUGAACUUGAGUUUGUGGUGUUUUUGAACUUGAGUUUGAAUCGUGGUUGAACUUGAGUUUGUGGUGUUUUUGAACUUGAGAGUGUGUUGUGUUUUUGAACUUGAGGUUGUGGUGUUUUUGAACUCUAGGUUGUGGCAAUUGUUGAACUUGAGAUUUGGGUGUUGGUUCAACUUAAAAGUUUGGCAUUUGUUGAACUUAAGUUUGUGUGUUUGUUGAACUUAAGUUUGUGUCUUGUUUGAACUUGAGUUUGUGGUGUUUUUUGAACUUUAGUUUUGGUGUCUUUGAACUUGAGUUUGUGGUGUUUUUGAACUUGAGUUUGAAUCGUGGUUGAACUUGAUUUUGUGGUGUUUUCGAAAUUGAGGGUGUGUUGUGUUUUUGAACUUGAGGUUGUGGUGUUUUUGAACUUGAGUUUGUUUCUUGUUUGCACUUGAGUUUGUGGCGUUUGUUGAACUCUAGGUUGUGGCAAUUGUUGAACUUGAGAUUUGGGUGUUGGUUCAACUUAAAAGUUUGGCAUUUGUUGAACUUGAGUUUGUGUUUGUUGAACUUAAGUUUGUGUCUUGUUUGAACUUGAGUUUGUGGUGUUUUCAAACUUGAGUUUGUGGUGUUUUUGAACUUGAGGUGUUGGAAAUUGUGAAACUUGAGAAUUGGGUAUUGGUUGAACUUGAGUUUGUGUGUUUGUUGAACAAGAGAUUGUGUUGUGUUUUAACUUCAGUUUGUAGUGUUUUUUGAACUUGAGGUUGUGGUGUUUUUGAACUUGAGUUUGUGGUGUUUUGUACUUGAGUUUGUGUUAUUUUUCAACUUGAGGUUGUGGAAAAACGUAAACUUGAGAUUUGGGUGUUGAUUGAACUUGAGUUUGUUUCGUGUUUGAUCUUGAGGUUGUGGUGUUUUUGAACUUGAGGUUUCUUGUUUGUUUAACUUGAGUUUGUGUGUUUGUUGAACUUGAGUUUGUGUUAUGUUUGAACUUGAGUUUGUGUCGUGUAUGAACUUGAGUUUGUGUCGUGUUUUUGAACUUGAGUUUUUGGUGUUUUUGAACUUGAGGGUGUGGAAUUUGUUAAACUUGAGAAUUGGGUAUUGUUUGAAUUUGAGUUUGUGUGUUUGUUGAACUUGAGUUUGUAUCAUGUUUGAACUUGAGUUUGUGGUCUUUUUGAACUUGAGUUUGUGUGUUUGUUGAACUCUAGGUUGUGGCAAUUGUUAAACUUGAGAUUUGGUUGUUGGUUGAACUUGAGUUUGUGUUGUGUUUGAACUUGAGUUCGUGUUGUUUGUUGAACUUGAAUUUGUGUGUUUUUUGAACUUAAUUUUUUUGAACUUAAGUUUGUGGCAAUUGUUGAACUUGAGUCUGUGGUUUUUGGUGAACUUUAAUUGGUGGCAAUUGUUGAACUUGAGUUUGUGGUGUUUUUGAACUUGAGUUUGUUUCGUGUUUGAACUUUGUUUGUGGUGUUUUUGAACUUGGGUUUUUGGUGUUUUUGAACUUGAGGGUGUGUUGUGUUUUUGAACUUGAGUUUGUGGUGUUUUUGAACUUGAGGUUGUUUCGUGUUUGAACUUGAGUUUGUGGCGUUUGUUGAACUCUAGGUUGUGGCAAUUGUUGAACUUGAGAUUUGGGUGUUGGUUCAAC
Xyrichtys novacula (pearly razorfish) is the source of this 10207-nucleotide non-coding RNA. NCBI's taxonomy places the organism in Eukaryota, Metazoa, Chordata, Actinopteri, Labriformes, Labridae. The record is from the annotation of a GenBank genome assembly.